AACGCACAUUGCGCUCUCUGGUAUUCCGGGGAGCAUGCCCGUUUCAGAAUCAUUAACACACUCUGUCUCAUCCAUUAAUCAUGGGUUGAGCCGGGACGGUGGAUGUUUUGUGCUGUACACUGGGUGCAAUCAUCCUAAUAUCAUUCUGCAUUGCCCUCGACCAUCCUGGUGGGCUUUCCAAGGUGCAACAGAAUAUCAUCUUUACACUUUGGAGGGAGACUAGGGGCGUCUUGGGAUUUAAUGGCAGUCCAUUGUCUAUCUGGGUAUUGGAAGUGGUGGUGUAGGCUUGUAGCCUGCAGCAGCAGCUCUCACAUGCUCAUUGUUUUGGUCUGAAAUCGGGCAAGAAAACCCGCUGAACUUAA
This 362-nucleotide unclassified non-coding RNA is filed under the name uncultured soil eukaryote. Its description in RNAcentral is "sequence contains 5.8S rRNA gene, ITS2, 28S rRNA gene". The record is from RNAcentral.